GAAUAAUUAAAGAUUACCUCGUCUUUUAGGUACCUUCCUAGUUGAGCGCGAAAUCCUAGGGGCUAACGUCUAAUUCAAUUUUAUUAAAGGCUAGGUAAAUGCAAAAUGAAGUAAUUAAAUUGUUGUGGGCCAAGGAAAGAGCGAUGAAAUCCCUCCCCUUAUCUUCUGAGUGGGUAUUGCCCUUAAGAUUUAUUUAAAAUGAUGCUCCACACAACGAGAUAAUUAAAGCAAUAAACAACUAUGGAUGCUUAAACUACGUGUCCUAAUCUAGAGAAAGAAAGAAAAUUAACGUACCUUUGGGUCCUCCAGCGAUCACCACAAUUAAGGUACGAAAAUUUAAAAACAAAAAUUAAAAAUCUAAAUGAUGUGCCCUAAGUGUAAAAAUGCAUGAUGCACACAUACGUAGUUCUAACUAAUAUUUUUGGAUUUUAAUAUUUUUUAUUUUUUUGUGAUUUUCAAUUUUCAAAUUUGUUUGUGGUUUUCUAAAUAAAAAAAAACGAAAAAUAAGAGUGGAGAGAUACGGGAUACCAAAGCAAGCUUCCAAAUCCGAGCAAAAUUUGUCCACUUUACUCCAUAAUUCCCGAAUAUUCCUCCUCGAAAUAAAGAACAAAAAAUAGUGAGAAAACAAGCUAAUCCGAAAGAUUAAAAAUAAAGGAGCGAAAAAUUAAUUUUAAUCCCCGGCAGCGGCGCCAAAAACUUG
Molecule: long non-coding RNA, 700 nt
Filed under: Daucus carota (carrot)
Lineage: Eukaryota; Viridiplantae; Streptophyta; Magnoliopsida; Apiales; Apiaceae
Description: long non-coding RNA (DCAR_LNC007450)
Source: RNAcentral